GGGCCCGCACAAGCGGAGGAACAUGUGGUUUAAUUCGAUGAUACGCGAGGAACCUUACCCGGGCUUGAAAGUUAUUGACUAUUCUGGAAACAGGAUAUCCCUUCGGGGCAAGAAACUAGGUGCUGCAUGGUUGUCGUCAGCUCGUGCCGUGAGGUGUCGGGUUAAGUCCCAUAACGAGCGCAACCCCUGCUGAUAGUUGCCAUCAGGUAAAGCUGGGCACUCUAUCGGGACUGCCUCUGUAAGGAGGAGGAGGGUGGGGAUGACGUCAAAUCAGCACGGCCCUUACGUCCGGGGCGACACACGUGUUACAAUGGUAGGUACAGAGGGCAGCCACCCAGUGAUGGGGAGCAAAUCUCGAAAGCCUAUCUCAGUUCGGAUUGGAGGCUGAAACUCGCCUCCAUGAAGUUGGAUUCGCUAGUAAUCGCGCAUCAGCCAUGGCGCGGUGAAUACGUUCCCGGGCCUU
This 463-nucleotide ribosomal RNA is filed under the name uncultured bacterium. Its description in RNAcentral is "bacterial SSU rRNA". It matches the Rfam family "Bacterial small subunit ribosomal RNA", at positions 917 to 1382 of the family's 1533-position model. The record is from RNAcentral.